GUAGUUGUGGCCGAGUGGUUAAGGCGAUGGAAUAGAAAUCCAUUGGGGUUUCCUCACGCAGGUUUGAAUCCUGUCGACUAUG
Anguilla anguilla (European eel) is the source of this 82-nucleotide non-coding RNA. NCBI's taxonomy places the organism in Eukaryota, Metazoa, Chordata, Actinopteri, Anguilliformes, Anguillidae. The record is from the annotation of a RefSeq genome assembly.